RNAcentral lists this ribosomal RNA (253 nucleotides) under uncultured bacterium. Its description in RNAcentral is "partial 16S ribosomal RNA". It matches the Rfam family "Bacterial small subunit ribosomal RNA", at positions 524 to 776 of the family's 1533-position model. The record is from RNAcentral.
UACAGAGGUCUCAAGCGUUGUUCGGAAUCACUGGGCUUAAAGGGCGCGUAGGCGGGCCACCCAGUCCGGGGUGAAAUCUUUCGGCUCAACCGGAAAAGGGCCUUGGAUACUGGUGGUCUGGAGGAAGGUAGGGGCAUGCGGAACUUCCGGUGGAGCGGUGAAAUGCGUUGAUAUCGGAAGGAACGCCGGUGGCGAAAGCGGCGUGCUGGACCUUUGCUGACGCUGAUGCGCGAAAGCCAGGGGAGCGAACGGG